AGGGGUUCUGUGCCUCCCUGCUAUGUAGGAGUAAGGUGGUGGGCUAUUGAAACCAUUCCUAGAGCCUGCUGACAAGCAUGGGGGCUGGGCUCUUUGAUGAAGAAUGGAGCGUAAUCUGAUGGCAGUGGAAAGUUGUGGAGAACAGACGUCUAUGCGGACUUCAGACAACACCAAAGGAACCCCUCCAGAGGCAGAUCCAUAAACCAGGACCAGGCACCUACACCUGUGUGUAAAUAAAGUUUUAUUGGACCACA
Mesocricetus auratus (golden hamster) is the source of this 254-nucleotide long non-coding RNA. RefSeq lists it as uncharacterized. The record is from RefSeq and is a predicted model, not a curated record. The transcript is spliced from 2 exons. Lineage: Eukaryota; Metazoa; Chordata; Mammalia; Rodentia; Cricetidae.